UUUUCGAGAUUCAGUUGGUCUAUGGUUGUGAUCAAUUUUGAACUAAAACUGGAAUUAUUAAGUAAAAACAAUAUUAUUUGCUAUAAGAAAUGACUAUGAUGACGUAAGAGCUUACAUGGAAAUGAAAAUUGAAGCUUCGAAACCUCGAGAUGAGGCUGCUAUCAGGAUUCGGAAAAAUAUUAAAUUCAAGUUGAAACGCUUGCACCUGACGUUUUGGAGUCUGAUUAAGCUUAUCAAUCCAUUACGUUGGAUACAUCCGUGCCAUCAAUGCUAUGAAAUAUGCAAAUUCUUUUGGAAACAUAGGAUGAGUGUGAAAAAAAUCCGUCAUUUGCGAAGAAUCUCCAUGAUCUUUAGUUAUGAUAGGAUUCACUGGAAUAGAAGGAGGUUAUUGAAACGAAGAAUUCUUGAGAAAUACAAGAUUCUUAUGAAACCCCUUUGGAAAAUGCAAGAAAACAAAAUCCAGUUGAAUGUUAAGAAAACAUUAUCGAAAUAUCACAAGGAGCUAUUGAAUUGCCCGAAGAAUAAUAUACGCCAAAUAAGAGAUGUUGGUAUAUAUUUCGAAAGUAUGUCAGUAAAAUUGCAAUUUAGGGUUUGUUAAUACUCUGUACUACGUAAACGUAGAAAACUGUUUUACUCAAUCAAUGACUGUUAAGAUUGAUUUCAAAGACGUCAUUUUUAUUUUCGGCCGUCAACGUGCAAAAAGUAUAUUUUUCGCAAAACUUCCAAAUCUUCUGUUCAUAUUUCAGCCUUCAACGUUUGUUUUUCCAUGCGGCAAUUUAGAGGCCACAUGGCUAUUAUAUACAUAUAUAAUAUUAUAUGUGAUUUAUUCUUAAAGUCAGUGUUGCCAAGAAAUUUAUCUCUAUAUGAUAAAACGGUCCUCAACAACAUUCGAAUUGUUAUUUUGAAUACAUAUACAUAUAAAUAUUUUUUUCAUUUUAUUUUGAAUCAUUUAUGGUUGUGAUCAAUUUCGAACUAACACUGGAAUUAUUAAAAACUAUACAUACAAAAAAGUCGAUCGAAUUCAUUUCCACUGAAAUAUUGAUUAUUUUUUUACGAUGCUCUUUUUGAUUUUUUUUCUGUUUCUGAUGAUGGGACGUCGACAUAAAAAUACUCAAAAUGGUGAUAAUACAUCUGAAUGCAAAAAUUCCUCUUUUCGAAAGUAUCAAGAAAACAAAAUUUCGAUCAAAAUUUACGGAACCUCUAGUAGAGUUAUCCUCAUUAACGAACUCAACUGCGGCAUUCGCAAUUCAAACCUAGCUCAAAAAAGUCAACUUUUUAGGAACUGAGAUUGAGGAGUUAUUAUAUUCAUGUAAGCUCUAUCAUCAAGGUAUGUAUUUCUUAUAGAAUUGCAAAGCAUUUUCAGUUGAGAACUUGGAUGAUAAAAAUUCAAAGAUUUUAAUAGGCGCUAUACAUGAACAUAUCAUUGAAUCCCAUUCAAUUAACAUUGAAAACUAAAACAGACAAUGAAGUUUCAACUUCAAAUUUGCGUUUUCAAUUGAGUGAAGGAAGCAAAAAAUCUACAGUUUGUUAAUUACUGGAAUAUUUGUUCUAAAAUGUAUGGCACUUUAUGAAGAAGUUAGUUUCGUAAAUGGAGACAUUUAGGUUAGAGGACUUAAUCCAAAUGAAAAACAAGCCCAAUAGACAAGAUUUAACACUGACUAAAGUCGUAAUGGAAUUGUAAAAUUGCCUAAGAAGCUCUGAGCACAUGCAUAGAUGAGCUAAAAUUGAAGAAGAAUCUGAUACUUUGUACAUUUUUUUUUAUUGUUUCUAUUGGCUUGAAAGCUAAUAGUGUUGUUGUUUUUGUCAAAUGAUCAUUAUUUUUUAUUAUUAUAUUUAUGUAUUUCAUUAAUUUAUAUGUAUCAAUAAUGUUGGAUAAAUUGUGGUCAAUUAAUUUUUUUUGAAUUUA
This is a long non-coding RNA of Harmonia axyridis, 1906 nucleotides long. RefSeq lists it as uncharacterized. Lineage: Eukaryota; Metazoa; Arthropoda; Insecta; Coleoptera; Coccinellidae. The record is from RefSeq and is a predicted model, not a curated record. The transcript is spliced from 2 exons.